This 79-nucleotide small RNA is filed under the name Bacillus mycoides. RNAcentral also lists the same sequence under 1 other name. Lineage: Bacteria; Bacillati; Bacillota; Bacilli; Caryophanales; Bacillaceae. The record is from RNAcentral.
UAUAUGCUACAACCGCACAAGACAGGUUCCCUAAAGACAUUUUAUGUCUACCUCGUUUUUGGCGAGUCUUAGUAAUUAA